ACUUUCUCUAUGUCUAAGAUUUACACUGAGCUUCCUGUUUAUUUCUCCUGACCCUUUAGGUGAGCAAAAGCAAUGAAGAUAAAUAGUAGCCUUGAUGUCAGGAACUCAACCAAUCCUCUGUAGCCUCCACACCAGAGAAUGCAUUUGCUACAUUUGCAGACGUUCUUCCAUUUAAGAGGUUCCUGGGAGCAGAAGGCCUGGCAUCCCAGUAGAACCUUCUGUAGACACCGUUGCAAGAAUGAGAUAAC
Molecule: long non-coding RNA, 248 nt
Filed under: Chinchilla lanigera (long-tailed chinchilla)
Lineage: Eukaryota; Metazoa; Chordata; Mammalia; Rodentia; Chinchillidae
Description: lncRNA (ENSCLAG00000025276.1)
Source: RNAcentral